This 253-nucleotide ribosomal RNA is filed under the name uncultured bacterium. RNAcentral's name for it is "partial 16S ribosomal RNA". It matches the Rfam family "Bacterial small subunit ribosomal RNA", at positions 524 to 776 of the family's 1533-position model. The record is from RNAcentral.
UACGUAGGGGGCAAGCGUUGUCCGGAAUCAUUGGGCGUAAAGAGCGCGUAGGCGGCCCUGUAAGUCCGCUGUGAAAGUCAAGGGCUCAACCCUUGAAUGCCGGUGGAUACUGCAGGGCUAGAGUCCGGAAGAGGCGAGUGGAAUUCCUGGUGUAGAGGUGAAAUUCGUAGAUAUCAGGAGGAACACCGGUGGCGAAGGCGGGUCUCUGGGCCGAUAUUGACGCUGAGGAGCGAAAGCGUGGGGAGCAAACAGG